GCUCAGAUGUACAGAAGCUCCUGUUUAACUGGAAGAACCUGAUCGGGUGAUCAUCGUCCACGGCCAGUUCCUUCUCUAUCUCCUGAAAUUGUAGAUUGAGUGAGUGCCACCAAUGGCAGCUGCUUUUCCUGAACACUCUGCUCCUGGAGAGUUUGGUCCACAGCAGUAGCUAAAUACGUGUGCAGCGUGUACGUCUUCUCAUGGCCUUCAUCGUUAUUUAUGAACUAACUUCGAAGGGAAGUCAUUUCCAUCCAGAAAACCUGACAUACGCUUUUCCAUACCCACCCAUGCAUAGAGAUAAGAAAACUGUGCUCUUUUACUAUUCUGGCAAGCAGGAGGCAACGUUUUCCAGAUGCCGUUAUGGGCAGCCCCGAGCCAUCCACUGCGUAUCCCAGAAAGCCAAAUGGCCCAAAGCCUCCAUUCCUAAGUCACUCUCCAGUCCCCAAACAUGUCACAAUCUCUCAUACCUCCUGACCUUGGCCCAGGCUGCCUCUUGGUAGAAUGGCCCCACCCCCACCCUACCCUCACAGCCCCUUCAACCACAAGACCUGGGUCCAGGUCAAAUGGCCCAGAUCCUCCUCUCUAAAUGCUUCCUUCUAAGAAGGAGCCCCUCCCCCUCUACUGUCCAUCCCCUCCAGUAUUGUGGGGGCUCCCUGAGGGCGAGGACCAGCCCCUAUUCACAGUGAAUACUGGACUGCAUCACAUGCCCUGGCAUCUGCAGUAGACAGAAGCCAAGACCCUUGUGCCCUGCAAAUCUUCACUGCCAGCUUCAGCUCUUCCAAAAUAAAAGCUGACUUUUAAAAGUAA
Herpailurus yagouaroundi (jaguarundi) is the source of this 807-nucleotide long non-coding RNA. RefSeq lists it as uncharacterized. Lineage: Eukaryota; Metazoa; Chordata; Mammalia; Carnivora; Felidae. The transcript is spliced from 2 exons. The record is from RefSeq and is a predicted model, not a curated record.